Molecule: ribosomal RNA, 502 nt
Filed under: Picocystis salinarum
Lineage: Eukaryota; Viridiplantae; Chlorophyta; Picocystophyceae; Picocystales; Picocystaceae
Description: partial Bacterial small subunit ribosomal RNA
Rfam family: Bacterial small subunit ribosomal RNA
Source: RNAcentral
CGGGACUGAGACACGGCCCGGACUCCUACGGGAGGCAGCAGUGGGGAAUAUUGCACAAUGGGGGAAACCCUGAUGCAGCCAUGCCGCGUGUGUGAAGAAGGCCUUCGGGUUGUAAAGCACUUUCAGCAGGGAGGAAGGCUUACCCCUAAUACGGGUGAGUACUUGACGUUACCUGCAGAAGAAGCACCGGCUAACUACGUGCCAGCAGCCGCGGUGAUACGUAGGGUGCGAGCGUUGUCCGGAUUUAUUGGGCGUAAAGGGCUCGUAGGCGGUUGAUCGCGUCGGAAGUGGAAACUUGAUGCUUAACGUUGAGCGUGCUUUCGAUACGGGUUGACUUGAGGAAGGUAGGGGAGAAUGGAAUUCCUGGUGGAGCGGUGGAAUGCGCAGAUAUCAGGAGGAACACCAGUGGCGAAGGCGGUUCUCUGGACCUUUCCUGACGCUGAGGAGCGAAAGCGUGGGGAGCGAACAGGCUUAGAUACCCUGGUAGUCCACGCUGUAAACG